UACUGUCUCCCUUUAGAGUUAAUUGCAUUCUCUGAGAGGACUAAGAAGGUCAAACAAAAGGCAGUUGAAAGAUGUUGGUAAUCAGGAUGGUAGAGGCAGUAAUCACAGCAUUUGCUUAUCAGUUGCAUAGCAGUGGCUGUUAAUUGCAGAGCCUUUACGUGCAACAUCUUACUUAGUUCUCACAACAACUUUGGAGCAUGUCUUCCUUGACCUUGAAGCCUCUCUAACCCAGUGGUACACCUUGGAGUCACUGGAUGGUGAACACUGAUUAAGAAGAGAGAGCACAUAUCAUGCAGAGACCAUGGGCCCUGGACCAGAAACAUUGAGGAUAGAGAGAGGCAAAGCCAGCAUCCCGGAGCUGGCUCCUUUCCCCAGGGUUUUGGAGCGGUGCAGUCUUCCCUAGAAAUUAAUUGAUAAAGACUGAGUUCCUCACUUGAUAUUUUGAAAGAGAGCUGCUGCUAGCUUAUAUACCGUGAAUUGCCAAAUGUCACUGCCUCUGAGUGGACAGAUUAUAUAAAAGACACUUCCUCCUGGUAUGGCUAGCAGAGGAUGCACUGGAUUUCAGCUCCUAGUCCUCCCUUGACUCCACCAAGCUGGGUAUUUCUUUGCAGUAUACAAUCUGCACAACUGUACGUGGUUUGACAACAUGCAUAAGCAUAAGGCUAACAACUUGUGAAACAAACUCUGAAGCCAGGAGUGAAUAUAUUAAUGCAGAUGGCAGAGAAGGUGAGCAGCGUGGUCAGACAGAAGCAUCACAGAGACUGCAAGAAGAAUGCUUUAGACCAGCUCAUAGUAGAGACUUUACCUCUUGGCUGUACUGAUUAAGGGUUAUCACCAGUUUCUUAGGACUUGGAAACUUGGAAACACAUUGCUUGUCCUUUCCAGUUUGUUACAGAGUGUGUGUGUGUGGUCCUCAUUAUAAGGUGUAGCUUCAGUCAUUCUCAUUCAAUCCUGAAGCUGUGGAUUCCUGUGUGGCUGUUCUGUUGAAGAUUCUGGAGCCCAGAACAUUCAAAACCAGCUUUCCUUAGAGUGAAAGGAUGUUUGCACAAACAUUGAAGCAUGGAAGGGAGUUUGGGGGUAAGGGAGGGGUGGGGAAUUCCAGGAAGAGGAAAUCGGUUAGACAAGGGUGUGGAGGCACACCAAAUUGUGGAUUCCUUUAGGAAGUGGUUUUUUUUUUCUGUGAGGAAGAUUGUCCCAGAGCGAACAUCUGUGCUGAUCUUCCUCUAUUUUGUAUAUGGGAUGCUGCCACAGCAUGGCUUGAUGAGCGGUGUGCAGGUCCGAGCCUGGGAUCCAAACCCACAAACCCUGAGCUGCCGAAACAGAGUGUGCAAAGUUAACCACCACACCACUGGGCCGGCCCCAGAGAGAAUUUUUCCACUUCAUUAAAUCUGAGUGUCCCUUCAGAUGCCGAGGUGAUUAUAGCACAGUCUCUGUUCUGGAGAAGCUAGAACCAUUUCAUAUCUACCCUAUUUGAUCCUCAACAAAUUCCGUAAGUUAGGUAGGAAAG
RNAcentral lists this long non-coding RNA (1507 nucleotides) under Equus caballus (horse). RNAcentral's name for it is "lncRNA (ENSECAG00000051833.1)". Lineage: Eukaryota; Metazoa; Chordata; Mammalia; Perissodactyla; Equidae. The record is from RNAcentral.